AUAAACGCUGGCGGCGUGCUUCAGGCAUGCAAGUCGAACGGACGUCUACCUUCGGGUAGGCGUUAGUGGCGGACGGGUGAGUAACACGUAAGUAACCUGCCCAGAAGUGGGGAAUAACUGACCGAAAGGUUGGCUAAUACCGCAUACGUUGGUUUGUCCCUGGAUGGACCAACAAAGGCUUAGGCCGCUUCUGGAGGGGCUUGCGGCCGAUUAGCUUGUUGGUGGGGUAACGGCCUACCAAGGCGACGAUCGGUAGCUGGUCUGAGAGGACGGACAGCCACACGGGGACUGAGAUACGGCCCCGACUCCUACGGGAGGCAGCAGCUAGGAAUCUUGGGAAUGGGCGAAAGCCUGACCCAGCAACGCCGCGUGGGGGAUGAAGGCCUUCGGGUUGUAAACCCCUUUUGCAGGGGAAGAUGAUGACGGUACCCUGCGAAUAAGCCACGGCUAACUACGU
This 457-nucleotide ribosomal RNA is filed under the name uncultured bacterium. Its description in RNAcentral is "bacterial SSU rRNA". It matches the Rfam family "Bacterial small subunit ribosomal RNA", at positions 29 to 506 of the family's 1533-position model. The record is from RNAcentral.